GCAACAAAAUUGCUGCAACUUGCAGCAAAAUCUGAUUUCUACGCAUGUUAAUUUAAUUGAAAAUGUUUAUACAUACAUUACAAAUCACGAGGCAACAUGCAUGUGUCGCAUUUCUACUUAACAUGCGUUGAAAUCAGAUUUUGUUGCAAGUUGCAGCAAUUUUGUUG
This 167-nucleotide microRNA precursor is filed under the name Paramuricea clavata. Lineage: Eukaryota; Metazoa; Cnidaria; Anthozoa; Malacalcyonacea; Plexauridae. The record is from RNAcentral.